GACAGAGGCCUCAAGCGUUAGGCGGAAUCACUGGGCUUAAAGCGUGUGUAGGCGGAUCGUUAAGUGUCUUGUGAAAUCCCACGGCUCACCCGUGGAACUGCUGGGCAUACUGGCGAUCUUGGGCCAACUAGGGGCAGCCGGAACAAGCGGUGGAGCGGUGAAAUGCGUAGAUAUCGCUUGGAACGCCGAAGGUGAAAACAGGCUGCUGGGGUUGUGCCGACGCUGAGACACGAAAAGUGUGGGGAG
RNAcentral lists this ribosomal RNA (246 nucleotides) under uncultured bacterium. RNAcentral's name for it is "partial 16S ribosomal RNA". It matches the Rfam family "Bacterial small subunit ribosomal RNA", at positions 524 to 768 of the family's 1533-position model. The record is from RNAcentral.